AGAAGCAUUGCUUCACUGCAUUCAAAAAAUAUUUUCUGCUUGUAUGUAAUGUAUCUUUUUCCUUUUCCCUUUAUUUUUUAGGUUUUCACCGUCUUCAUGCUUCCAAGAGGAUAGCUGCUGACAAGAGACAGGGUUCCUGUAGAACAGUCGUCCUUGUAUCUGGCCUUUGCCAGCUCAGAGAAGACAGCAAUUGUACAACUGUAUGAAAACAAUACAGAAUGCACAGCUUGUGCAAAGAUUCUAGCAGGU
This 249-nucleotide long non-coding RNA is filed under the name Struthio camelus australis. Its description in RNAcentral is "lncRNA (ENSSCUG00000002206.1)". Lineage: Eukaryota; Metazoa; Chordata; Aves; Struthioniformes; Struthionidae. The record is from RNAcentral.